CACCCUCCUCGGCCUCCCAAAGUGCUGGGAUUACAGGCGUCAGCCAUCGCACCUGGCCACCAGAAUCAUUUUAAUUGACUGAUCAUGUCAGAAACGAAACAACCUGGAAAAAUGAGCAAAAGCCUUCAAUGUGUUCCUCUCUCUGCCUUGGUGAUCCGGAGGUCGUGCUGCGGAUUAUAUACUCCCAGGCGAGAGCAGCGUGCUAAUGGUUCCUUCUCUUUUCGAUAUGCACCCGCGGUGGACUUACAGAAGCUUUAUUUUCAACACCUAAGCAGUCACGCUUCCUCCAGCCUAAGGCUUUGUGCUAUUUUUGAAUGCUUUCCUCUUCCGACACUGCGGCUCCCUCCUGAGCCCGUAGCUGCAGCGCGGUGGGUGAUGGGCGCGGGCGCUGGGUGCCGCUCGCCACGCUGGAUGGACCAGUCCGGGGAAAGUGCUCGGGGGAAGCCAAGGGCCCCGCCUGCAAUCUCUGGCCCGGGGCUCUGCGCACUCCAAGGGCCAGGAAACCGCAGGCGGGCCCAGCUCCCCGGCUGGGUCUGCCCACGUGGGCGCGGGAAGCGCGGGGUAUGCGGGCCGCCUGGCCAAGCUGCACUUGCCCGGAACCGGCGCAGACACAGGCCCUUAGCGCCGCGGGAACUCGGCCAGGCCCACGGCGCGCUGCGCCGCAGGGGCACCCCCGCAGGGCGCCCCCCGACCGCGCGACGCUCCGCAGGGGCGCCACAGCCCUGCGGGUCACAGAGAUGCUACCCCCACGCCCAGGAGGGCCGAGAGCUGCGGGGGCCUCGCAAACGCCAGCAGUCCCCGCCUGGCCCCAGCCAUUUUACGGCAGUGGGCCCCGCCCCCGCGCGCCACCGGGGGCGGGAAGGAGGUGUGCGGCACAAGCCAGCCAAUCCGCGCCACCAUCUCCAGCCCUGCACCCUGUCAUUGGCCGAGAACCGGACGGCGCGAUGCGGCCGUAAGGCGUGCCCGAGUGUCGUGAGGCGGGCCCACGGCUAGGGCGCCCUCGGCCGGCGCCGCGGCUUUGGUCGGAGUGUCAGGCUCCGGGAAGCGGCAGCAGCGGCACGGAGGACUUGGGGUCUGGUGUCCGGAACAACCAUGGCUGGCGCGCUGGUGCGGAAAGCGGCCGACUAUGUCCGAAGCAAGGAUUUCCGGGACUACCUCAUGAGUACGCCCCACCUAUGAAAGAAGACACAUAAGACACCUGGUGGUAGAGAAACUGGUUUAUAUGCCCCUCUUAGAAUAACUCUUCAGGCUCUGUUACAGCCCUGGGUUCAUGCAUGAUAAAGUAGACAGCAAGACCACCAUACAGUGCAGAGGAGUGGAAAGAGAAUAA
Molecule: RNA transcript, 1330 nt
Organism: Sapajus apella (tufted capuchin)
Lineage: Eukaryota; Metazoa; Chordata; Mammalia; Primates; Cebidae
Gene: MPC1
Gene name: mitochondrial pyruvate carrier 1
Exons: 3
Source: RefSeq, a predicted model, not a curated record